UCCGGUUGAUCCCGCCGGACCUGACUGCUAUCGGAUUGAUACUAAGCCAUGCGAGUCUUUGUAGUAAUACAAGGCAGACGGCUCAGUAACGCGUAGUCAACCUACCCUAUGGACGGGAAUAAUCUCGGGAAACUGAGCAUAAUACCCGGCGUACCAUCAUUCCUGGAAUGGUUGGUGGUUAAAAUGAUUCGUCGCCGUAGGAUGGGACUGCGACCUAUCAGCUUGUUGGUGAGGUAAAGGCCCACCAAGGCGAUUACAGGUACGGGCUCUGAGAGGAGAAGCCCGGAGAUGGGUACUGAGACACGGACCCAGGCCCUAUGGGGCGCAGCAGGCGAGAAAACUUUGCAAUGUGCGAAAGCACGACAAGGUUAAUCCGAGUGAUUUCUGCUAAAGGAAUCUUUUGCCAGUUCUAAAAAUACUAGUGAAUAAGGGGUGGGCAAGUUCUGGUGUCAGCCGCCGCGGUAAAACCAGCACCUCAAGUGGUCAGGAGGAUUAUUGGGCCUAAAGCAUCCGUAGCCUGCUCUGUAAGUUUUCGGUUAAAUCUAUAUGCUCAACGUAUAGGCUGCCGAAAAUACUGCAGUGCUAGGAAGUGGGAGAGGUAGACGGUACUUGAUAGGAAGGGGUAAAAUCCUUUGAUCUAUCGAUGACCACCUGUGGCGAAGGCGGUCUACCAGAACACGUUCGACGGUGAGGGAUGAAAGCUGGGGGAGCAAACCGGAUUAGAUACCCGGGUAGUCCCAGCUGUAAACGAUGCAGACUCGAUGAUGCAUUGGCAUAUAGCCAGUGCAGUGUCGCAGGGAAGCCGUUAAGUCUGCCGCCUGGGAAGUACGUACGCAAGUAUGAAACUUAAAGGAAUUGGCGGGGGAGCACCACAAGGGGUGAAGCCUGCGGUUCAAUUGGAUUCAACGCCGGA
RNAcentral lists this ribosomal RNA (913 nucleotides) under uncultured marine archaeon. RNAcentral's name for it is "bacterial SSU rRNA". It matches the Rfam family "Archaeal small subunit ribosomal RNA", at positions 1 to 922 of the family's 1478-position model. The record is from RNAcentral.